RNAcentral lists this long non-coding RNA (1952 nucleotides) under Eucalyptus grandis. Its description in RNAcentral is "long non-coding RNA (EGRA_LNC007698)". Lineage: Eukaryota; Viridiplantae; Streptophyta; Magnoliopsida; Myrtales; Myrtaceae. The record is from RNAcentral.
CUCGUGCCGGAGCCGUUCGGCCACCUCCGGCCACCGUUCGGGUCCCGCCUUGGUCCGGUUUAACCCCUCAACCUUCCCCGGUCCUUUUCCAUCUCAUCCAAGCCCCGGAUCCGCCCAUUCUCGGCCUCAACCAGCAGUGGACAGCAGCUGGAAAAAUGGGUAUGGCAGCCCGGUUUUGGCCCGUUUUGGUCGGCUUCCCGACCCCGGAUGCUUGGCGCGCUUUGAAGAAAGUUGUUCCCCUCGGCGCCCCCGUCGUUUUGGUCCGCUCGGCUCGCUAAUCCGGUGAGUUUAACUCACUAAAUCUUGAUUAGAGGGUUAAUGAUGCCCUAAGUGUGCUUAGUCUAAGUUAAGUAAGUUUAGAUGGUUAAAUUAGUUUAUUUGGUUGAGGAUUAUAUUAAGAUGUUUAAUUAAGUUAAAGUGUGUUUAGUUUAAAGUUAAGUAUGUUUAUUUUAAUAUAAAGCCUUGAUGUGACAUAAUAGGGUUUUACUUUUGAAUUAUUUAAUGAUUUCGAAUUCUGGAAUUUAUAAUAUUAUAUUAUAUUUCGAAAUUAUUAAAAUAUUAUUAUUAAAAAAAAUGGAAAAAUUAUUUUUGACCCCGAUUGCUUAGAAUUUCGUGCCGAUCGCUGCUAUGCAUUCGGAUUUCGAAAUUGAUGGUUGGAUAUUAUAAAUUGAGCAUGGAUCGUGAAAUAUAUGGAUAUUAUUAUUUAAUUAAUUUUCGGAAUAAAUUUAAUUAUUUAAUAAAUUCUAAAAAUUAUUUUGGAACCUUAUUUUCUUAGAAUUCCGUGCUGAUCGCUGCUGUGCAUUUAGAAUUUGAAAUUGCUGAAUGGAUGUGGCAAAUUGAGUGUUGAUUGUGGUAAAUAAGGAUUUUAUUCAGAAAAACCCAAGUGUCGGGUUUUGAUGCAAAAAUUGGAUUUUAAUGAUUAUAUUAAAUGGUGGGGUUUGAAAAAGUGAGAUAUUGGCUUUUUGAUUCGAAUUUAGCGUGUCCCCACACACGUGAGUAAUUUCUUGAAUAUUUUUAAUAUGAAGAAAAACGGCCGGGAUCACUAUUUUAAGUGGAAGCAUUGAUUGAAAUAUAAAGUGUCCUGGGGCCAAGUAUGAUUUGGCUGUGUGAUAAUUAAGAGGAAUCGUCUUGGGCUAUUGAGCCGGACUUGCCCCUAUAUGGGAUGCCCACGCAGUGGUUGCGGGUCGCAGUUGAUUCUGGGCCCAUGCUCCUUCGGGAACGCCGUCGAUGUACUGACGAAGCCGCGCUCCAUGGGGGGGGAGGCGAUGCCUGGGCUAUAUGCCAGUAGAUAGCCGAACUGCGAGUAGGCUAUGCCCUUGUGUGGCAGUGAAUAACAAUUGGAAUGCAUAUUGAGUGUUGUUGAUGUGUCGGAUUAUAGGACGGAAUUGUGUGGCAUGGAAUGGGACGUGUCAUAAUGAUUUAGUCUUAUAAUCAGGACCCCCGCGGUUGUUGGUUAUAUGAAAGAGAAUGCGUUCCGGUUGUUUAAGUUCAUAUUACUAUCUGUGGUUGAGUGAUUUGAAUUGCGCUAACCUGCAGGAAGGAACUGAGGCGAGGUAAGUCUUAUGUGUGAUGUGGCUAGGCCACCCGGGGUGUAUUUUCUUUCUAAUAGGGGUUUAGGGGGUUGAACUUGUUGAGACAUCAUCUCAUCCCGGUUGUGGGAUUAAAAUUUCAGGUCCAUGGUGGACGGAGCGACCAGAUAGCUUUGGUUCGCCUUGAGGAGUUGCAGAGGUGAAGUCAUAAGAUUGGAGAUCGUGUCCGACUUGUAGGUCGUAAGACAGUUCCUUUUUAAGAGCCGAUCUUUUGUAGACUUUUGGCUGUAGGCUUCUGUUUGUAAUUCUGUUGAAUUAUGAAAGUGUUAUGUUGUGGUUUUGCUUCCUGCCUUUCUAUCCCAUAUUUCAUUGUCAGGGGUUUUAUAAUACGUUCCGCUUGCACAAUAAUAAAAUGAAUGGGGU